RNAcentral lists this long non-coding RNA (1521 nucleotides) under Homo sapiens (human). Its description in RNAcentral is "HSALNT0068025". Lineage: Eukaryota; Metazoa; Chordata; Mammalia; Primates; Hominidae. The record is from RNAcentral.
CCAGCUCACACUCUGUGGAGCUCAGAUGCACCAGUCUGAACUCCCUCGAGGCAGAGAGCCCUGGCCUCUGCACUUGCACACUGACUCACGCAGAGCCUGGGGCUGCCUGGGCCUGAUGGAGCUGGCAGGCAGGGACUGUCUUUUUCCUGGAGGACUUCCUGGUGGAGGCCUGCUGCAGUUGGAGGCCUGAAGCACAGCGGACAGCCCCAGGCGUGUGUGGCACACCCAACACCCCCAUCCUUCCCAUGAGCCAGGACAUGGCCCGGGGGGCCUCUCUCCGAGGGAAGUGUGCCACCAUCAGGACGUGGGGUUCAGGAAGCAGCCCAGGCUGAAUGGAGGAGAAUGGAGGCAGGAAGGCCAGGAAGAAGUUGAAGCUGCCUUCCCAGCGACAGGCUCCCGCCCGGCCACGUUCCUCAUGCAGGCGUUUGGAAGCCCCGCGGCACCCGGUGGGUGAAGACAAGCUGUGUCGUUUGUGCCUUGGCGGCGGCCGCUCUCCAACCCCCAUGGCCCGGCCCCUCCCCAGCCCGGCCGCCCGUCCACAGCUCCAGACCCGGGGUCAACCACUUGUGCCAAGGAGCCUGAGAUCCCAGCCCAUGCCCAGCCAGUCAGAGUUCUAUUUCAGCUGACCGGGGCUACAGGGAGGCCAAGAAAGAGACCCUCCUCACCUGCCGCCGCCUCACACCCCACCGUGUAUCCUGCGGCCCAGACCCCAGCAAAGGAGGGCACAGGGCUGGCCUGGGGUGGACUGGGGUGGACCCUGCCAGUGGCUGCUGACCUCCCAGGCCACCUGGGCUUUCCUGGCCUGCGCAGUCUCCCGGAACUGCUUCCGCUGGCCCAGGGCCUGGGAGUGCCCCACACUCGGGCAGGGCCCUGGCAGCCGAAGGGAGGGUCUUUCUGAGCCAGUGGCUUUGGGACGUGCAGGGAAGGGGCUGGCGUACCGAGGUCACACUGAGUCUCCCUUCACCACGAGACAGGAGAGGCCUCCCUGAUGGUGGCUCUGGACUCAGGGCUGAGGCAGCUAUGCAGGAUGGCUGGAGCUCUGCGGUGCUCACUGUGGCCAGAUGCCACCAGGUAGUGGCGGGCAUCAGCCGGGCAGUUGCUGGUGUCAUGAAGAUAUCAGCCCACCUCCAUCCACCUGCCCAGGCCUGUCCGGGUUGGGCGUCCCCAGAGCCCUAGGCUGAGGCUGAGGCACCUGGGGCUGUGCCGCUCCCCUCCCCGCCCCGUUCCAGCCGGGGCCUGCCUUACCCUCCCUGCCCCAGGGAUGGUUUCUGGCAGGGAACGCAGUGUCCUCUGAGACCCGUCAGGUCCCAACAGAUGGGAGCGCUGUUCCCUCCCACAGCCCAUGCCCAGUGGCCCCAAGUGGGCCCUCAGCUUCCUCUUCUGGCUCUCAGACCAGCACAGCACGCGGCAGGUGCCCACGAGGUCCAACUGGGCUCCCUCAAGCCUUCUGCCCUCUCGCCUUGCUGCCCGCUGUCCCCACUGGCUCUUUCCUGUCACCCUCCUGCCCCCCACAUCACCCCC